GAUGAACGCUGGCGGCGUGCCUAAUACAUGCAAGUCGAGCGAACGGACGAGAAGCUUGCUUCUCUGAUGUUAGCGGCGGACGGGUGAGUAACACGUGGAUAACCUACCUAUAAGACUGGGAUAACUUCGGGAAACCGGAGCUAAUACCGGAUGAUAUUUUGAACCGCAUGGUUCAAUAGUGAAAGACGGUCUUGCUGUCACUUAUAGAUGGAUCCGCGCUGCAUUAGCUAGUUGGUAAGGUAACGGCUUACCAAGGCAACGAUGCAUAGCCGACCUGAGAGGGUGAUCGGCCACACUGGAACUGAGACACGGUCCAGACUACUACGGGAGGCAGCAGUAGGGAAUCUUCCGCAAUGGGCGAAAGCCUGACGGAGCAACGCCGCGUGAGUGAUGAAGGUCUUCGGAUCGUAAAACUCUGUUAUUAGGGAAGAACAUAUGUGUAAGUAACUGUGCACAUCUUGACGGUACCUAAUCAGAAAGCCACGGCUAACUACGUG
Molecule: ribosomal RNA, 497 nt
Filed under: uncultured bacterium
Lineage: Bacteria
Description: partial 16S ribosomal RNA
Rfam family: Bacterial small subunit ribosomal RNA
Source: RNAcentral